UACGUAGGGGGGCAAGCGUUGUCCGGAAUCAUUGGGCGUAAAGCGCGUGUAGGCGGUCCGGUAAGUCCGCUGUGAAAGUCGGGGGCUCAACCCUCGGAUGCCGGUGGAUACUGUCGGGCUUGAGUACGGAAGAGGCGAGUGGAAUUCCUGGUGUAGCGGUGAAAUGCGCAGAUAUCAGGAGGAACACCAAUGGCGAAGGCAGCUCGCUGGAACGGUACUGACGCUGAGGCGCGAAAGCGUGGGGAGCAAACAGG
Molecule: ribosomal RNA, 254 nt
Filed under: uncultured bacterium
Lineage: Bacteria
Description: partial 16S ribosomal RNA
Rfam family: Bacterial small subunit ribosomal RNA
Source: RNAcentral